AUGGUCUUAGCUUGCUAAGGCCGAUGGCGACCGGCGCACGGGUGAGUAACGCGUAUCCAACCUGCCUUACACUCUUGGACAGCCUUCUGAAAGGGAGAUUAAUACAAGAUGUUAUCAUGAGUAAGCAUUUUCGCAUGAUUAAAGGUUUACCGGUGUAAGAUGGGGAUGCGUUCCAUUAGAUAGUAGGCGGGGUAACGGCCCACCAAAGCGACGAUCAGUAGCCGGCCUGAGAGGGUGAACGGCCACAUUGGGACUGAGACACGGCCCAAACUCC
This 274-nucleotide ribosomal RNA is filed under the name uncultured bacterium. RNAcentral's name for it is "partial 16S ribosomal RNA". It matches the Rfam family "Bacterial small subunit ribosomal RNA", at positions 69 to 339 of the family's 1533-position model. The record is from RNAcentral.